RNAcentral lists this ribosomal RNA (292 nucleotides) under uncultured bacterium. Its description in RNAcentral is "partial 16S ribosomal RNA". The record is from RNAcentral.
GGACUACUGGGGUAUCUAAUCCCGUUUGCUCCCCCAGCUUUCGCCUCUCAGCGUCAGAUUCCGACCAGAAAGUCGCCUUCGCCACUGGUGUUCCUCCCAAUAUCUACGCAUUUCACCGCUACACUGGGAAUUCCACUUUCCUCUUCGAAUCUCAAGGCUGGCAGUUUCCCAAAGAAUUCUGCAGUUGAGCUGCCGAUUUUACUCUGAGACAUACCAACCCGCCUACAGGCGCUUUACGCCCAGUAAUUCCGGACAACGCUCGCCCCCUACGUUUUACCGCGGCUGCUGGCAC